This 74-nucleotide transfer RNA is filed under the name bacterium. Its description in RNAcentral is "tRNA-Pro". It matches the Rfam family "tRNA". From Rfam's summary of the family: Transfer RNA (tRNA) molecules are approximately 80 nucleotides in length. The record is from RNAcentral.
CGGAGUGUGGCGCAGUUGGCUAGCGCAUACGCCUGGGGGGCGUGGGGUCGCAGGUUCGAGUCCUGUCACUCCGA